AGAUCUGCCGAUUGUCCUAGUUGCUUCCUGGGUUUGUAUUUACUCCGGAAUUGGAGCAGUGAGUAAAAAUGUGGCCAGCCAGAUUGUGGCUGAUUUGGAUCAACCGGAAGUGAAGUUUCGUUGUAAAUAUUCACUUGAUGACCCGGAUGGAGGCACCAUAAUCGCAUGGUCAGUGAAUGAUGAAACCAUUCUGAAGAGAAAUUCAAAAGGCGAAUUGUAUUACCACGACGCUUAUACCGGUAGGGUGCAUUUCGGCGAUGAUUGCUCCUUAGUUCUGAAGGAUCCAGGUCUAAACGACACGGGGCAUUACACUCUGGAAAUUUUGACUUCAAAUGACAAACAUCCAAGAGCAGUAGAGUCGGUGAAUUUGAUGGUAACCGCUCGGACUUCAACAGUGACAGACCAAACAGUGUCGAUGAUUCCUGUGCAGACCAUAAAUACUCCACCCCCACCACAAAUGCCACAGAUAUAAAUGGAGCUACCGAGACGUGGCAAGACAAAGCAACCUACAUAGUGACGAUUCUCCAGUUGGUGACAUCACCUUGCUGCCUCAUCUGCUCGUUUAGUUUCACCGUAAUUCAGGCAUACCGCAUGGAAAAUGAUGUAUUGUACGAAAGAAGGGGGAUAGAUACACGUGGUUUGAUCUUCUCUCAAGUGUGGACCAUUUUUUUUACGAUGGUAUUUGUGGCAUCGAUGAAGGAUGUUGCGAAACACAACGUUUACACAUUUACAGGAAGAUCUGUUCUAUUUCUACUUUCUUUUGCGAGUCUGAUAAUUUACCUGGGGAAAUACUUGUAUAUGAAAAAGCAGGCUUCAGCAAAUGUUUCAGGCAAAGGUCCCAAAAUAUCUUAAGCGAUUCUUUCCAGUGGGCCACCAACGGCGUAU
This is a long non-coding RNA of Liolophura sinensis, 885 nucleotides long. RefSeq lists it as uncharacterized. The transcript has 6 exons. The record is from RefSeq and is a predicted model, not a curated record. Lineage: Eukaryota; Metazoa; Mollusca; Polyplacophora; Chitonida; Chitonidae.